Molecule: ribosomal RNA, 483 nt
Filed under: uncultured bacterium
Lineage: Bacteria
Description: SSU rRNA
Rfam family: Bacterial small subunit ribosomal RNA
Source: RNAcentral
AGGACGAACGCUGGCGGCGUGCCUAACACAUGCAAGUCGAACGAGGUCCAACCGGUAGCAAUACUGGUGAAGACCAAGUGGCGAACGGGUGAGUAGCACGUGAGCAACCUGCCCCGAAGACCGGGACAACACCGGGAAACCGGUGCUAAUACCGGAUAUCCCCACCGAGUCGCAUGGCUUGGUGAGGAAAUGGAUUCCGCUUCGGGAGGGGCUCGCGGCCUAUCAGCUAGUUGGUGAGGUAACGGCUCACCAAGGCUUCGACGGGUAGCUGGUCUGAGAGGACGAUCAGCCACACUGGGACUGAGACACGGCCCAGACUCCUACGGGAGGCAGCAGUGGGGAAUCUUGCACAAUGGGCGAAAGCCUGAUGCAGCAACGCCGCGUGAGGGACGAAGGCUUUCUGAGUUGUAAACCUCUUUCAGCAGGGACGAUUGUGACGGUACCUGCAGAAGAACGCCCGGCCAACUACGUGCCAGCAGUCGC